This is a non-coding RNA of Gossypium arboreum, 107 nucleotides long. NCBI's taxonomy places the organism in Eukaryota, Viridiplantae, Streptophyta, Magnoliopsida, Malvales, Malvaceae. The record is from Rfam.
AAACCAUGCAUUGGACAUUUCCUAAGUAAUUCCUUGAAAAGCUCCCAAGCUUCAUACAAGGUCUCAUCCUCUGAUUGUUGAAAAUAUGUGUUAUCAUUCAUUAACUU